ACGCUCGACACCUACGGGAGACAGCAGUGAGGAAUAUUGGUCAAUGGACGCAAGUCUGAACCAGCCAUGCCGCGUGCAGGAUGACGGCUCUAUGAGUUGUAAACUGCUUUUGUACGAGGGUAAACGCAGAUACGUGUAUCUGUCUGAAAGUAUCGUACGAAUAAGGAUCGGCUAACUCCGUGCCAGCAGUCGCGGUAAUCUGAGCGGGCUGGCAAGGC
This 218-nucleotide ribosomal RNA is filed under the name uncultured bacterium. RNAcentral describes it as "partial 16S ribosomal RNA". It matches the Rfam family "Bacterial small subunit ribosomal RNA", at positions 328 to 539 of the family's 1533-position model. The record is from RNAcentral.